This is a long non-coding RNA of Melitaea cinxia (Glanville fritillary), 325 nucleotides long. RefSeq lists it as uncharacterized. The transcript is spliced from 2 exons. The record is from RefSeq and is a predicted model, not a curated record. Lineage: Eukaryota; Metazoa; Arthropoda; Insecta; Lepidoptera; Nymphalidae.
AUUAGUAUCUAGCUGUCGAUAUUUUUAGACGUAAAUGUGCGCGUAGAAGGCCGCUAGUAGAACGCUGGGGGUCACAAUGGUUGCGAAGUACAGGAAAAGAAGGUAGUUGUAAUCCAUAACUUCGACGAAGUAGCAACCCGGUGAGCUGUCGACUGCUGCGUGCCAACCGAACAACGGAAGGAGUCCAACACCGGCGCCUGCUACCCAGCACGCAGAGAUGAUAACUAAAAUAAAAAUUUAAAAAUAAGGAAUCGCAAUUGUCAAACAAAUUUCACAAUUAAUAAAUCAUAAUUAUGUAGUGUGAUGAAUUGUCACAAACGAAUUA